AGUGAACGCUGGCGGUAGGCCUAACACAUGCAAGUCGAACGGCAGCACAGUAAGAGCUUGCUCUUACGGGUGGCGAGUGGCGGACGGGUGAGGAAUACAUCGGAAUCUACUUUUUCGUGGGGGAUAACGUAGGGAAACUUACGCUAAUACCGCAUACGACCUACGGGUGAAAGCAGGGGAUCUUCGGACCUUGCGCGAUUGAAUGAGCCGAUGUCGGAUUAGCUAGUUGGCGGGGUAAAGGCCCACCAAGGCGACGAUCCGUAGCUGGUCUGAGAGGAUGAUCGGCCACACUGGAACUGAGACACGGUCCAGACUCCUACGGGAGGCAGCAGUGGGGAAUAUUGGACAAUGGGCGCAAGCCUGAUCCAGCCAUACCGCGUGGGUGAAGAAGGCCUUCGGGUUGUAAAGCCCUUUUGUUGGGGAAGAAAAGCAGCAGGUUAAUACCCCGCUGUUCUGACGGUACCCAAAGAAUAAGCAUCGGCUAACUUCGUG
This 492-nucleotide ribosomal RNA is filed under the name uncultured bacterium. RNAcentral's name for it is "partial 16S ribosomal RNA". It matches the Rfam family "Bacterial small subunit ribosomal RNA", at positions 29 to 507 of the family's 1533-position model. The record is from RNAcentral.